UCGCGGGAUGGAGCAGUUAGGCAGCUCGUCGGGCUCAUAACCCGAAGGUCGUAGGUUCAAAUCCUGCUCCCGCAAU
Molecule: transfer RNA, 76 nt
Filed under: Streptococcus pyogenes
Lineage: Bacteria; Bacillati; Bacillota; Bacilli; Lactobacillales; Streptococcaceae
Description: tRNA-Met(cat)
Rfam family: tRNA
About the family: Transfer RNA (tRNA) molecules are approximately 80 nucleotides in length. Their secondary structure includes four short double-helical elements and three loops (D, anti-codon, and T loops).
Source: RNAcentral